CAGCCGUAAACUAUGCUCGCUAGGUGUCAGGCAUGGCGCGACCGUGUCUGGUGCCGCAGGGAAGCCGUGAAGCGAGCCACCUGGGAAGUACGGCCGCAAGGCUGAAACUUAAAGGAAUUGGCGGGGGAGCACCACAACAGGUGGAGCCUGCGGUUUAAUUGGACUCAACGCCGGGAAGCUCACCGGAUAAGACAGCUGAAUGAUUGUCAAUCUGAAGGUUUUACAUGACUAGCUGAGAGGUGGUGCAUGGCGUAGACGUCU
Molecule: ribosomal RNA, 261 nt
Filed under: uncultured archaeon
Lineage: Archaea
Description: partial 16S ribosomal RNA
Rfam family: Archaeal small subunit ribosomal RNA
Source: RNAcentral